This 441-nucleotide ribosomal RNA is filed under the name uncultured bacterium. RNAcentral's name for it is "partial 16S ribosomal RNA". It matches the Rfam family "Bacterial small subunit ribosomal RNA", at positions 338 to 795 of the family's 1533-position model. The record is from RNAcentral.
CCUACGGGUGGCAGCAGUGGGGAAUAUUGCACAAUGGGGGAAACCCUGAUGCAGCAACGCCGCGUGAGUGAGGAAGUAUUUCGGUAUGUAAAGCUCUAUCAGCAGGGAAUAAAAAGGAGGUUCCCUGAAAAAGAACCCCCGGCUAACUACGUGCCAGCGGCCGCGGUAAUACGUAGGGGGCAAGCUUUAUCCGGAUUUACUGGGUGUAAAGGGACCGUAGACGGAAAGGCAAGUCAGAAGUGAAAUGCCAAGGCCCAACCCAGGGACUGCUUUUGAAACUGGCAAACUAGAGUACGGGAGAGGUAAGAGGAAUUCCUGGUGGAGCGGGGAAAUGCGUAGAUAUUAGGAGGAACACCAGUGGCGAAGGCGUCUUACUGGACCGAAACUGACGUUGAGGCUCGAAAGCGUGGGGAGCAAACAGGAUUAGAUACCCUUGUAGUC